Molecule: RNase P RNA, 358 nt
Filed under: Thermoleophilaceae bacterium
Lineage: Bacteria; Bacillati; Actinomycetota; Thermoleophilia; Thermoleophilales; Thermoleophilaceae
Description: RNase P RNA component class A
Rfam family: Bacterial RNase P class A
About the family: Ribonuclease P (RNase P) is a ubiquitous endoribonuclease, found in archaea, bacteria and eukarya as well as chloroplasts and mitochondria.
Source: RNAcentral
CCGGCCAGGCAGCCGCGGCCGGGAGAGAAAACCCGGUCGAGGAAAGUCCGGACACCGCAGGGCGGGGUGGUCGGGAGACCGACCCGGGGAAACCCGCGGGAAAGUGCCACAGAAAUACACCGCCUAAGCGCCGGGGUGCACGUGCCCCCGUCGCCGGUAAGGGUGAAAUGGUGCGGUAAGAGCGCACCGGCGGCGUGGUGACACGCCGGCCAGGCAAACCCCACUCGGUGCAAGGCCAAGCAGGGACGUUGAGGCUGCCCGCCUAGUCCCAGGUAGGCCGCAGGGCCGUGACGGCCCGCCCCUCACGGGGCAGAUGGAUGGUUGCCCACGACAGGAUCCGGCUUAUCGGCACGGCUAA